RNAcentral lists this ribosomal RNA (615 nucleotides) under uncultured bacterium. RNAcentral's name for it is "partial 16S ribosomal RNA". It matches the Rfam family "Bacterial small subunit ribosomal RNA", at positions 116 to 736 of the family's 1533-position model. The record is from RNAcentral.
CGUGGGUAAUCUACCUUCGAGUGGGGAAUAACAGCGGGAAACUGCUGCUAAUACCGCAUGACAUCGUCGGACCGCAAGGCCUGACGAUCAAAGCCGGGGACCGCAAGGCCUGGCGCUUGAAGAGGAGCCCGCGUCCGAUUAGCUAGUUGGCGGGGUAAUGGCCCACCAAGGCGACGAUCGGUAGCCGGCCUGAGAGGGGGGGACGGCCACACUGGGGACUGGGACACGGCCCAGACUCCUACGGGGGGGCAGCAGGGGGGGAAUUUUUCGCAAUGGGGGAAACCCUGACGAAGCAACGCCGGGGGGGGGGGAUGAAGGCCUUUGGGUCGUAAACUCCUGUCGACCGGGAAGAACGUAGUCCGGGCCCAAUACGGCGGGCUAUCGACUGGGGGCGGGUGGGAAGGGAGCCCACCGGCUAACUCUGGGCCAGCAGGCCCGCGGUAUACAGAAGGUGGCAAGCGGUGUCCGGAUACUGGGCGUAAGGCGCGUAGCGUGCUCUAGUCCGUGUGAAUCCCGGCUCACUGGGAUGCCGGGAACUGGAUGCUGAGUCGGGAGAGGAGCGAUCGGUGUAGCGGUGAUGCGUAAAUCGAGACCGUGGCGAGGCGCUCUGACGAC